Homo sapiens (human) is the source of this 964-nucleotide long non-coding RNA. Ensembl annotates it as MIR3681 host gene. The record is from Ensembl. NCBI's taxonomy places the organism in Eukaryota, Metazoa, Chordata, Mammalia, Primates, Hominidae.
ACUCUUAUUUCAUCCGGCCUGGGGAGGAGGGGAAAGAGGAAGUCACCUGUGAAAUUGUCUUUGCGCUUUGGACUCAAGCCCCCAGGAGCCUUCAUCUACCACAUAAGAAUUGCAGCAAACCCUGCAGCUAUCCUGAAGCUGCCAUGCUGAAAAGGCCAAUUGGGAGACCACAUAGAGACCGAGAGAGACUUCCAAGGACUCCAGCCAAUCCUGGGCCCCAGCAGUUUGAAUCUCCCAGCAAUGCCACCAUACAGGAGAGGGAGCAAAUACUCAGAAGAUUCAAGUGCCAGCUGCAUGGGUUGAUACCUACAUAAAAGGCAUUGGCAUUAUUCACAAGAGCCAAGAUAUGGAAAUAACCUGUGUCCAUUGACAGACGAAUAGAUGAGGGAAACGUGGCAUAUACACACAGUGGAAUAUUAUUCGGAAUUAAAAAAAGAAGGAAAUCCUGAAUCCUGCUAUUUCUGACAACAUGAGACUGCAGGACGUUAUGAAAAUGGCCACAUCAUGCUCUUCUAGAACUUUCUCAUCCCUCAGUCAAGAGGUGGAGCCUAUUUACCCUUGACCUUGAAAUUGAUCAGGACUUUGUCACUGCCUUGCUCUUAACAUCACCAUGCUGGAGAAAUAGCAUGGCAAGGCCAGCUGGUGAUAGAGAAAGAUGCCUAAGGAGCUCCAGCUGCUAUUUUCCCUGGAUUUUUGAGUCUUCCCAGUCCAGCCAGACAUAUGACUGGGCAAAACCCUCAGGUAACUACAGCCUUAUCCACUGUCUGACUAUCACAAAAUGAGAGACCUUGGGUGAGGACCACCUACCUGAGCCCAGUCAUCCUGCAGAGAUGCGAGAAAAAUAAGAAUGUCAUUAUUGUUAUUUUAAAAUCACUGAGUUUGGGUUAAUUUGUAUGCAGCAAUAGAUAACUGGGACACAAAGAUAGACUGUAAAAAAAUAAAGAGGGAAUGGUUAAGCUAAAAA